Molecule: ribosomal RNA, 250 nt
Filed under: uncultured bacterium
Lineage: Bacteria
Description: partial 16S ribosomal RNA
Rfam family: Bacterial small subunit ribosomal RNA
Source: RNAcentral
UACAGAGGUCCCAAGCGUUGUUCGGAUUCACUGGGCGUAAAGGGUGCGCAGGUGGGUUUGCAAGUUCGAUGUGAAAGCCCCGGGCUUAACCCGGGAAUGGCAUUGGAUACUGCAGAUCUGGAGGAUUGGAGGGGGGACUGGAAUUCUUGGUGUAGCAGUGAAAUGCGUAGAUAUCAAGAGGAACACCAGUGGCGAAGGCGAGUCCCUGGACAAUUCCUGACACUGAGGCACGAAAGCUAGGGGAGCAAAC